AUCCCUGUGAUUAAUAUCAAUGAUUGUGAGCCUUGGGAAUUACCUCAGUUCUUGCGAGUAGACUCAAGUGAUCGCGAGUGGUAUUUCUUUCGUCGUCGCCAAGAACCAAACCACAGGACAACCAAGGCUGGAUACUAUAAAGUUACCGGCAAGGGAAUCAAGAUUAAGGAUAGACAGGAAGAGAUUGGUACAAAAACAUUCUUGGUUUACUAUAAAGGUCGCACUCCUAAGGGGGUCAUCACCGGCUGGAAGAUGC
This 256-nucleotide unclassified non-coding RNA is filed under the name Hevea brasiliensis (rubber tree). Lineage: Eukaryota; Viridiplantae; Streptophyta; Magnoliopsida; Malpighiales; Euphorbiaceae. The record is from RNAcentral.